This 16122-nucleotide long non-coding RNA is filed under the name Capsicum annuum. RNAcentral's name for it is "long non-coding RNA (CANN_LNC001161)". The record is from RNAcentral. Lineage: Eukaryota; Viridiplantae; Streptophyta; Magnoliopsida; Solanales; Solanaceae.
CAACAGUCAACAGUUGUUAACAAAUAACGAUGACAACGAGCAACAACGUGCAAAACCCGACCCCCAGACCCGAUUUCGUCACUAACUCAAUACACAAACGACGUAACAGCGACAACCUCAACAACAGCGUACAAUUUCAAUGCUGUAACCACAAGCAGCCAACAACGACGGUAGCACCACAUCAAUAACGACAAAAUUCCAGACGUCUCAUUUACUAUUUUGCCUUGUCAGAUAGUCUUUUAUGGAUAAAAUGCAGAAUGCUCUCAUCUUUUCAGUUGGUGGUUCAUCAAUUUGGGGAAAAAAUCAAUUCACCUCCUUUGACCAAGCAAAGUAACGACUCUUUCCUCCUUCUCUCCACUGAUUUUUGAGUACAAAAUAUGGCCUUUGUCUCACUAUGGAUGUGAAACUUUUUUAAGAAUUGGUUGAAAUUUUAGAUUUGAAAUCCAUCCUUUUUUCAAAAUUCGAAACCCAUUUUCUCCCCCAAUUUAUCUUAUAAAUAGUGGUUGAAGGAUACGGGAAAAGAGGAGGAAUUUUAGGAAAAAAAAGGGUGUUCUGGAGACGCGUGUCUCUAACCUCACGCAACCAAAAAUCCGGAAAGAAAACUCGAAAAAUCAAUUUCCAACGAAUUCAGUUGAACACUAUUGAUUUUGGAAUCUAGUUUUGGCCGUGGUGAAGGUUUCAUCCUUGAAAAACUCGUAAUCCCAUUCGCUGCCCGGGAAAAAGGUUAACACAUCUUCCUUUUUUCUUUUAGUUGAUUGUUCUUCACCGUCUUCUUUAUAGACUUCUCUCGUUAUCAUAAUGGCUGAGACUGUUUAGUUGAUUGUUCUUCACCGUCUUCUUUAUAGACUUCUCUCGUUAUCAUAAUGGCUGAGACUGUUUGCUGUAGGAACUUAGGAUUUUCUUAUAUUUUUUGUCGAUUUGGUGGCUGUGUUCCUGUAGUUCCUAGGCUGCAUCUUAUUAUGUUUCGUUAUUUGUGUUGUUUGGUGGUAUGUCAGAUUUUGAAAUUAUUUAUUCUUUUUCUUGUUUGUUGCGGGAAUGAAAAUUCACUCAACAAGUUAAACUUCUGUGUGGAUUUCUUGAUUUUGUUAAUAAGUAUAUUUUGUCAAAGAGAAAAUUUGCCUUUUUGUUUCUCUGUAUUGCUUGGAAAACAGUGGCUCGGAAGUCGAUUUUCCUUUUUCCAUUGCUUUCCAUAUUGGUUAUUAGUGUUUACGGAUGUACCAAAUAAAUUUUACUUCCUUAGAUUUGCCUUGUCAUUGGUUUUGUUAUUUGAAAUAGAAUAAUGUCUCUCUAAAGUUGGCACGAUUAAUUCAUUCUCUUGCAAAUAAUUCAUUGUGCUGCAUUUGAUCCAUCUUCUACGUGCACGUUGCAAUUGCCGUUUAAAAUUCGAUAUUGUCUUGAAAUUUCUAAACUCUUUUACUCCAUACAAAUUAAUUCUAGAGUUAAUAGUGGACAUAUAUUAAUAACAAUUUUUUAAGUGUUGCUUUCUUAACUAGUUAUAUUAGUACUAUUUGAAUAAAUUCCAAUCUUUAUAUUUUCUUGAUGCACGUGACACCGACUUGAGUCUCAGCGGACUCCAUUUCCUACAUUUCUCGAUGGACUAGGCCUACAUCUUCUACAAGUUCCAAAUGCCUUCAUUUUUGAAGGAACGAGGCUGGUAUACAUUUGUAUAAGCCUGAUAUAUGAGGUUUACAGGUUAAAAGUGGCUGAUAUAAGUCAAGAGAUGACUUAUGGUAAAGCUAGCAAGAAUAAAAGGUUUUCCAUGCUGUUAUACAGCGUAUAUACAGAAAAAAUGCAGUAAAACGAGGCUGAUAUACAGUCAGUAUACAGCUGGUAUACAACUGCAGAAAUGGACCAAAAGUCCAUAAAGAAUGAGCCCAAAAGUUUUCUAGAUUUGGAAAAGGCCCAUCUUUUAAUUCUUCUUAUUCAUCUCCUUGUAAAUCCUAUUUGAUAAUAUGUUUGCCUUAAAUUAUUAAUUUGGUUAACUUUUAUAAAUCCCCUUCGAAUCAUUAUUUUUGUUUAUCUCUGUAUUUUUCCUUUGUUAUUUUAUAGCGUAAUAUUCGAAAUUAAUAAAAAUAUAUCUUUCUUUAUGUUUUUUCUUAAAAUAAUUUUUUCUAAAAAAAAUAAUCAAAUGACAUUUUAUUUUAUCAACGUGUCAAAGUAGUUCAUUUAAGUUAAAAAGAAUUCUCAUCGACCUAAAAUCAAUUUCCUUUGCAAAAAAUAAAAAUAUUUUCACUAAUUAGUCAAGGCUCAUAAUUUGUUUAAAUUGAUAUUUUUCUUUAAAGACAAAUAUUUUUUUAAUCAAAAAUGAUAUGUAAAAAUCACUUUAUUUCUCCCUUUUAUUUGAAAGAAUAAUUUAUGAAAAAAACGGGUUUAGCUCAACCUUCUUUAUAGGAAAUUUUCUCAAGUUAAAUUGGACUAAUUUUCACUUGGUUGACAAAUGUCAUUUUAAGUCUUCAAAAAAUAGUUAAAGGUAAUAUUUUUUAUAAAAUCAAGUCUUCGUAAAAAUUAGCCACGUUUAGUUAGUCAAGUUAGUUCUUUUUGGUAAAUCGUUUUAAACGGACGCUCCUAAGUGCCUUAAAAACCUUCUUAGAGUGUUAAUUGAACCCUUAUCCAGUUCUCUGGUUUUAAAGGCUUAUUUCUGUUAUUGAGCCUUUGAAACUCUUUUUAAGUUUUUUCGUGAUUUUUUCUAUAAAAAUUAAGUGGCGACUCUAUGAAUUUCUUAAAAUUAUUUUGAAUUUUUUUUGAAUCUUUCUCGUCAAAUGAAUCCGUAAAGAAUAAAACAAAGUUUAAGGAGGGUAGGGUUCAAAAGAGGGAUAAAAAUUGAAUGGCUUACGACUUGUGAUGUGUUUGCCAAAGAAAGGUCAAAAGGCUCAAAGUGGGUGACUAGGGAUAACAUUUAUGCGAGGGUAGACUUUUUAGGCUAGAGUGGACUUUCAAUAUCGCAAAGAUGGCCUAGGAUCAUCUCACCAACCAAGUACAAUCAAAAUUAGUCUUGAUAUACUAAUGGGGCAAGUUCUAGAUGGUACAAGUAUACAUGAGAUUUAAACAAAUAAGUUCACCGCACAUGGCAUACAAAUUCGCCAAGGAGGUUCAAUUGCCCCUCCCGUUAGAGACAAAAAUAGAGUACUUACCAAUUUUCACAAGCCAAAAUUUUGGAGUCAUAAAAAGAGAAAAAGUAUUGAUACAAGAUCGCUCAUGUCUGUACCCUUGAUUUUUGGAAAAAAAAUUAGACGGAGGGGGGUGUUUGCUUUCCAUUUGCACCACAUAUAAUUUGCUAAUUAUGGAACCAACAUAAGCCUUCGUCUCACAUGUUGGCUUUCAUACGGGCAAACCAUAUGGAUACUCAGACUUCGCCAUAGGUAUAAUUAGAUCCCAAAUUCAAAAUGCUACAGGUACUCAGAUUUUUCUUGCAUUUAUUACCUCGAUGCUACGGAUACUCAGACUUCCCCUACAUUCAUGGCUCGAAACUCAAUUACAAUGCUUUUCCCUUAAGAAUGUCCUCACUCAAUCUAUCAUAGGAAAAAGCUAGUCCGAUAUCACCAUAACCAAAAUAAAGAUAAAGUAAAAAUGUAAAAACAAACUAAACAACUAAUCCAUGAAACAUGGGCACCAGCAGAGUGCCCAAAAAAUGCAACCCAGAAACAAAAAAUUAAAAAUCAUCCAAAAAGUCAUCAAAACAUCCAAAAAUAUCUAAAUAAUAUAGAUCCGGGGGCAGGCACCCCCUACUGAAAAGCUAGCAGUGUCCUCACUGCAUAAGUAAUAGAGCAUAAAAUAGAGAUAAGGGUGCUCUCUAAAACUGCAUCAGGAGCUGCUUUCGCUUGCGGACUUGCAUCAUCUCAAUCAGCAUCAGCACCGGACUACUCAGUAGGGGCCUCAUCAUCGCUGUCCAUCCUGGGAGAAGGUAGUCUGUCUCAGAAUAUUAGCACUUUCCACAGGCCCUUUACCUCUUUCUACAUCUUACUGAAAAACUUAUCUUUCUUCUUCUCCCUUUUCUUUAUCUUCUCGUGGGAGUCCCGAAGCUUCCUGUGAUACUCUGCCAACGCUGAGUAUGCCCUUUUGAGCCUAGAAAUGGUGGCUUCUUGAGUCUGUUGGUCCUUUGGAUACUUCUCUUAAUUUGAUCGGGACACAAAUGAGUAGCGGGUGGUGGAGGGCUCUCUUUGCCUCUGGGGCAAUACUGACACAAGCCCCUUGAUGACCCUAAUAUCAACACCAAUAUCUUCAAGAGGCCCAACAGUGAAUGGCCUACAUGACUCUGACUUCUCACAUGUCGACUUUCUCAAGUCGAUCUUUCUAUUUUUCCUUUUUCUCGGUGCACCUUAACCCCAAAUUUUGAGAGGAUAAAUAGGGGUUCAGGGCGCACCCAAGUAUCUCCUGGGUAUUCCGCAACCCCAACUCUCCUGAAUAGCUCAGUGAUCAAAGAAUGGAAUAAGAGAUACAUACCACCAGGGUUUCUGAAGAACUGCAUAUCAGAUAUUACCAACAGAUAUCAUCUGACGACCAACAUUUAAAGAAAAGUUGUCGAGUAUGCAGGGAACCAUAUGGGAACGCAAAUCUGUAGUUGCAGUCAAAUGAAUGCAAGGAGAGAUCCGGCUGCAAAUGAUAUUCAGCUAUAUUCGGGCCUCAGUAGUGAAGUCAUUCAUCGAGAUGCCCCUUUUGGUUGCCACCUACAAGACCUCCUUGACUGGGCACAACCUCUCUACCAUCUAGCUUCCCGGCUCACACCCCUUAGCUUCAAUGUCAACUAUGUCUACAUUUGGGAGCCCAUAUAGAUCAUUGAUUUGUUCCACCUCAAAUUACACAUUCCUCCCCAAAUCCUGAUAACUGGGUUUUUAAAAGAUACUAUACUAAGAUUAGCGUAGAACUCUCGCACCCAUUGCUGAUGUGCCCGGCAAGGAUCCAGAGCAAAACAUCUCCACCUAUUAUCCACGAGCCUAUCAUGCAAUGCUGAAAGAUUUUUCGACACCUUCUCCAAACAUAUACUCCUUUCGGGAAGCAACUUUGUCCUUAGAAACUCAUCGUAGUAUUGGUUGUGGCACUUGGGAGUCAUGAAUCAAAUUUGGUCAUAAUUCUCAAUAAUGUAAACCUAAAAAACAUGAGUACAACAAAAAUAUUUAUCAUCAAUAUUUUCAUGCUUAAACUAGACUAUUUUGUCUUAUAAAACUCAUGGGAUGGGUACUUGGUGGUGUUUGACCAAAAAAUCAAAGUGCAGAAAUUUUGGCCUAGGCUGAGAUUCAGCCUUAGUUAUGGCGAUCACAAGCCACUGAGUUGUGAUUAUGGUGCCGCGAUCGUGACUCGAUAACUGUGAUCACUGGUUCCGCAAUCAUGAUCCCGUGACCGCAAUUAAGGUAACUAAGGCUAGAUUGGGCUAGAUUUUCAAAAGCUUCACAAUCCAAUUUUAAGGCCAAAAUAUGUUUGAAAACAACAGUUAAUCAAUAAGCAUAUCAAACAAAACUUCUAAGUUCUUAAUCAUGCCCUCACGAUGUGAAAAUAAUGAGUUAUAGACUCUUUUGGGCAUUUGAUCGGGCACUUGGUGUGCUCUCUAUACUUUACUCAAAUUCACACAUUUUUUGGAUACUCAAGAUUUUCCCACAUGUAUGCACACUAUUUUUAACAGCUUCACCACACAAGUAAGAUUUAACAAGAAUUUAGCAAGGAAAAACAUAGUUUUAGGCCCUACCUAGUUCAUGCACUCUAAGGCCUACUCACAAUAAUUAAAAACAUGAAUUUAAAGCACUUACCGGAAGAGUGAUGCAAGAUGGAUGCAAAGAUGCUUUUGAAAUGCUCAAAAUAUAGACAGGAACAUGUGUAAUUUGAGAGAAAAGUUGGAGGGGGAAUGUGAGGUAAAUAGGAGACCGGUGGUCUUUUAAACCAUGUCUGGCUGCGAUCGCGGUCAAGGUUCGCGAUCGUUGACAAGCGGAUGAUCGUGAUUGCGACAAAGACCCAACAAUCGUGUUAACAGAGGGCAUUUCUACACCUCUAUUUUCCCCUGUUCAGUCCAACAUGCAAAAAUCCCACUCUUACCCUCUUUCAAACUUAUUCAAUGCACUCUAAAGUGCCAUAAAUGCAUGGAUUAAUCAAUGACAAAAUUAAAAUCUACACUACCAAGUUAAAAAGAAAGGAUACGGGCCACUUUAUGGCGUGAUGGGUUGAUUCCCAUCGAGUGCCAAAUUUUAAUGUCGUGGCACGACACACCUUUUCAAGUAUCAUUUAUGUCUCUACUUAGAAGAUUUAAACUGACGUCCCAUCUUGCAACCAUUAUGUUUUGAGCGAAAGUCGGACAAAAGAUUCAAAUAUUCCAAAAUGAGACGAAAUAAAGUUGAGGAGGUAUUGAUGACUUCUCUAUCUCGCCACUUUGAAGACUUGAAUCGUUUACCCAACUUUACAUCAAACUCUCGAGUAGGCUCAUUGGGUAUUAGUAAGAACAUCAAAAGACUACUAGUUGAAUAUUAGAUUUUCAGCUUUCUUGUCUUCAAAUGAGGGACGUCAUCUCUCCCUUUUAAGAUGACAAACUCCAAAAUAUAAGAAUUUUGUACCCCAUUUCUCAAAUUCGCCAUUUGCUUGGGUGUCUUAACUUUCAUCACAUCCAGCAAGCAUAAUGUUUAAAAAUGAUUAGAAUGAGGUCGUUGUCCCAAUUCUGGAUUCGCAUUCAUCUUGAAAUUCUCAUCCGAAAAUGAACUAAGCCCUCACAAUGGAUUUGCUUAGCUUCUUCUUUGGACUCUAGUACCAAUUCCUUUACUGUGGCAUCCUUUAUUAGUUUUUGUUUGUUUGGUUGGCAAAUCACCAAGGAUUCUUCACUAUCAAGCUCAUAAUCAAGCUCAUGGCUUGAUAUCUUUUCUUUAUCAUCCUUAUUUUGAAGAUUGGGCAUAUACAUGACACUUGAAAGAUUGGUCUCCUCACCCACUUCUUAUUUUUCACUGUCCAUUCCAAAUGCCAUCAUGGGUUGAUUCUAGUGAUGCUGUCCUCCUUCAUUGUAGUCACUCGAUCCAUGAGAUUUAGAAGCAUUGCUGCAACAGGAUUGUAUCCGACAUGUUGUUCUUCCUUUAUCACAUCAUGAGACCUAUCAAAAUCAUAAGAACUAACAUUUUUGUUAGCAUAACUAGGGGAGGGGACAUUUGGACAAUCACUCCAAUGUCCAUCUUGACCACUACAGAAAGAACAAUUUUACUCCUUAUAGUAUUGAGAUGGUGCACACACAUUUUUUCGGGGAGCAUAUUUACAAUCUUGACAAAAGUGGGGUCCACCACAAUAUGGACAUGAAUCAUCAAGAUAAAAUUUGCAACCACCAAACUCAUAUUCAUUUCAAGAUGUCAUAGUAAUAAGCAAGUGAAAAUAAAAAUCUACCUAACACAAGAAACAAAAGAAAAUCACAAACAAAUAUUUACUAGUUUGAAUUCAAGAAACUAAGGUAAAAUUCAAACUAACUCAAUACGUCAAAUUAUUCUCCGACAAUGACGUCAUUUUUGAUAACACUGAACUCACACGUCAAUUUAAGUGCAAAGAGAUCAUUGUCAGUAUAUUACUCAACUUUGAGUCGGGAUCAAAUCCACGAGGAAUAAUGUAACUGAUGAUUGAGUAAGUUCAAAGUGAAAGUUAUUUGCUAAAUUCAAACCUAGGAUACAAGUAGUUUGGGAGAUGUUAAGAGAAUUCAAAAAGAUAACAAAUUGGAUUUCUAACUGACUAAUUUGAGGUUGAGAAUAAUUAGAGCGUAAUCAAUUAGGAACAGAUCUUGGGGCUAUGGUUUACUAGGGACAACUAGUGUGCGGGUACAUGAAAAUCAACUCCAAAUCUUAGCUAAAGUAUGCGUGGGUAGGCUCAGUUAGGGAUUUUGAUACCAUCCAUUCAAUAAAGUACCAAACUAUCAGCUAAGGAUUCUUUCGAAUACCUCGUGGGUGUGGUCAACCAAUCGUUACCAAACCUCAAUUGGGCAUUCCUAUUUCUAAGAAAAUGCCCAAAAUAUAACAAUUCCACAUUUUAUCCUUAUUUCUAAGACAAUAAAAAAAGAGUAACUAUUAUCUAUCUUAUUAUUCACAAAUCCUCAUGUUACCCACAUCCCUCUUUCAAGGAUGGCGUGGUGUUUAGAGAUAUUAAGACUUUCACCAACAAAUUCCAUUUUGCGCCCUAUUCAAUCAAGAAUUUAAGCUAACAAUCACAACCCACACACAUUUGCGCCCUAUUCAAACAUAACCCCAAGAGGGAGAACUAACUACUCAUAAGGAUAAUAAAUAAAGACAUACCAAAAUCUCCAUCAAAUAGAUUCAUGAAAGAUAAAGAAGAUGCGAAUUCAAACUUUAAGUUUCAAUAAAUCUUAAGUGGAAAAUGCUAAUCCUUCACUUAGAAGUUACUCUAAUGUAUUCUUCACCCUAUACUGGAAGAGAUUUCCAAAAAUUGGGAAUUUUUCUCUAUGAGAGAGGGUUUGGUCUCUUAAGGAAAUUGGGGACGGCUGUUGUGAAAUUACAAAACUGCCGCGUUGCCACGAUUGCUGACAUUUGUCCGUAAUCGUGGAUGCUGCAUCCGCGGUUAAAAACUCGCGAUCGCGCUUCUUUAACCUAGCAUUACUGGCUGCGAUCAUGGUCUGAGGACGACGAUCGCGGUAAUUGAGGCUGGUUUCUGCUUCAAGUCUUCUAGCUGUACUUCUUUUCUUCUUUUUGAUCCUUUUUAGCUUUAAUCCACAUCUUUCCAUCUCAUUUUUUGAUCCUUUUUAGCUUUAAUCCAUAUCUUUCCAUCUCAUAACUUGUCUGUCUGCAAAAUGUAAAAAUUAGUGCAUUUAAUCGCAAAUAUGUCUCAUUUAUACAUUCAAUUCAUAGUAGCGGGCAAGAAUGUUGAGUGCAAAUGAGUGGUAAAUUUGCCAUUCAUCAUCCACCAUUUUCACCAUCUUUGAAGCUUGAUAACUCGAAUUUGAGCAUUUUCAAAGAAAUUUUUGAGAUUUUCUUCAUGGGUAUGUUUCUAAACAUUGUAUUAUUAUUUUUCACGGAUUUCACUAUCAAUUUACCUUUAAAUCUUCAAUUCUAAAUUUUAUUUUGCAAUUUUCAUGAUAAAGUUUAAAAAUAAUAUUUUUUCAAUUUGGACCUCAUUUUUAAUUUAUUUUUACAUGAAUUUUCAGUUUUAGGUUCCUAAUGUAAUAAAAAUGUGUUUGCAAAAAUAAACUUUCAGUUUAAUCCUUUUUUAUUCGGGAUUAAUUUUUGCAUUUUUUGUAAAUUCGAAAUAAAUAUAGUUGGUGUGAGUAUCAUUGAGCCCUUUUUUGACUUAUAAAUGUCAUAUUUGAUUGGAUUGGACGCAUUUGGUGUUGAUUCAAGAGAGUUGGGAUUUCAAUUGAGGUUUUAGACUACAUUUGAAUUUGCGGAUCUUAAUUUAAGGCAUGCUAAGAUGUUCAUUGACUUUUUUCCGAAGUGUUUAUGUAUUGUAUGUUUGUUUAAUUUUUUUUUUUUGUGUAUCGCUUAGGAUUGUGGGUCCCACUUAGGUGAAAUGACGAGCAUCCCCUUGGAUACCGGAGUCUUUGAUGGAUUGUCGUUGGAUUAUUACCUUGAUUACUUAGUACUACUAUUAUUAAAUAUUCUUAGAUUGAAAUGUAGAUAGAUAACCUAGUGAUUCUCAAAUAAUGAAGAAUGGAUUGUCAUUUUAGAGCUUGAAUCUUGUUAGCGAACUUUAUUUGGAUGAUAGUGGGUUAGUGCCUUGUUAGGGGAUAAUUAUGUUAUUAUCAUCAUUAUUUUGAUGGAAUGAUUGAAUAUUUAGAGAAUACUUAGAGUAUGAAUAUACUUGUAAUAGCUGAUGAGAGUUAAUGAAUGGGCCAAGUUAGGUUUGGGUAGUCCGCAAUUUAUUAUAAUUGAGAUUGUUAUUUAUUUUGUGAUGCUCGUGUCGGGCUUAUGUGAACUUCAUUAUGGACUUGAGUAGUUAUUUGUGAUUGUAUAUCCGGGUAGGGGCUUAUAUGCAUAUUGCUUUUAAUUUGAGAGGAUAUACUAUUGUGAUGCUCGAGUGGGGGCUUGACUUGAUGUUGUUAGUCAUGUUUUGUUCAUUAAAUGACUAAUUUAUUAUUGCAUCUUUCGAGUGGAGGCUUGAUUUGACAUUGUAGUCCUUAUAUGAGUAUUUAAUUGCAUAUUCAUUACAGUGAUGUCCGACUGAGGAGUUGGGAGUGAUAAUAUUAAUGACCACAUGACUAUUUAUUUUGGUGGUGCCAAGUGGAGGAACGGAAUGAAGAAUAGAAGGAAUAUGGAUCAUAUCUUUAAUCAUUAGAUAUUAGUCAUUUGAGGAUGAUUUGUGUUUAGGAUAGAGAUAUAUCUAAACACUCCACGUGAUUAAUGAAACGAGAAUAUUGCUUAAUGCAUCUAUAUUAAAGACUCACUUCCUCGCUCAAUAAUGUAAUUUUGAAACUAAUUUGGAUAGAUAACUUAGAGGAUGAUCAUUCUCAAGUAAUAAUAUCAACCCCAUAAAUCAGUAACCACGAUAAACACCAACAUCAACUAAGUAGAAUUAGCUGUUAAUGGUUCAAUUAGCUGUUAUAGAGAGAUAAUUUUACAAAGAGUGUACUGCUGUAAUAAACAUCAUUACUGUUAUAGGUAGAAUUUCGUUAUAGAGAAGUAAAAUAUAACAAAAAAAUUAAUUUCGGAGAAAAUCAAAUUGCUAUAAUAAAAUAUUGUUAUAACGAGGUGACAUUAUAGAAUGUCUGAUUGUAUAUAGUGUAUUUAGUAUAGGAGAUUUUUUUUUGAAUGAAUCUUUUCUUGUUUUAAAAUAGGAGCAAGAGAAUUUGGUAUAGUAGCACUUUAACUGCUUAUUUUUUUUCUUUGUAUAUGUUUUAUUGGUGUAGUUUGUUCGGAGAAAUAGAAGUGAAAGAAGAGCGAGAAGUAAGAAAAAUAACAAAUAAAUAGUUUGAGAGAGUGAAAGCACUCAUGAGUUGUACUUUGUCAAAGAAUAAUUAAUAAUUAUAUUUGAAUUGGAGAGUCGUAACUCUCAAUAACAUAUUAUUGAGUAAAAGGUUACUCACAGUUAUAUUUUAUCUCUGUCCCUCUUGACUUUUAUAGUUAGAAUAUUUUUAAAAAAUACUGUAUUACCUAAACGUUACUCACAUAUACGUUUAUUUCAAACCUAACUCAAUCUCUCAUUUCUCAAUUUAGUUACCUGAUUUUACUUCAUUAACUUGUGAAUAAGUUUGUGCUUCAUGCGGUAAUGAAAACCUCAUUAAAUUUAGAGUAAUGUUUUUUAUAAGAUUAGAUUAAGAGAUUUUUAAAAUUUUAAAUAUUCAAAAAAGUUUGUUCUUCUUCAAAUCCAAAUGGAUUAUAGUAAAUACUUAAUGCAAUGCAUUUCUAUACUUAAUGCAAUGCAUUUCUCUAACUUUGAAUUUUUUAGUAAAUAAAGUAACAUGAAGCUAAUAAAGAAGAACAAAUUGGUGCAAAAAUUAAUUUUCUAUAAAUAGUAUAUAAGGAAGAAAUAGACUUGAAACAUAUAGUUUGCAACAACUGCUUUUCGUUAUUGUUGGGUUUGAUUUUUGUACUCUUAUUCGUUUUCGCCUUAAGGGUGAAUAAAGCAUAAAACAGGUCCAUCUACUUCAAUCUACGGAAUCAAAUAACAAUACUUUUUCGUGCUUUAUUUCCCUCUCUAUUUUAGAGUACUUUUUAUAACUUUAUUAUUGGGACUGUUGUACAUAAUUUUCAAUAAUAUUGAAAUAAAGUAAUUAGAGAAAUAUGCAAAUGCAUAAGAAUUCAACCCAACCAAAAAUGUGAAUAAACCAUUAAUGUUUACCUUGGAAGUGGCGAUGAAAUAAAUAAAUUCCUCGUAUUUUCUUAUAGUUCUUACAUGAAUAUUGAAAUUCAAAUCUGCAAUAAAAGAUCAAUCUUAAUAGGCAUGUACCAAUAUGAGGAUAAUCCCUCAUUCUUCGUAAUUUGUGUUGAAAUUAUCAACAAAUAAUUUUACUAUUGAUUAUAUAAUAAAAAUAUUCUUGAUAACAAUUUAUAUACGUAGUUAGGAGAGACACAAAGGAAAAAAAAUAAAUACUAAACCACUAAUCCAGUUCUUUUUUAGAACAAAAGUGCAAAUUAUUUUUUUGCUUAGCCUAAAUAUAUUUAGUAAGCAAACACGAUUGUGUUUCCAAGAAAUGAUGACUUGACAACGAGAGCUAAUGCUCGACGCCCCACCAUCCUUAUAAUAGUCAACAAUAUCCAAGUCAUGACACACUAUAGCCAUCGAUUGUCCAUAUUCAUCAUUUUUCAAUUAGUCAACACUUUAUCAACUAACCAUCAUGUAAUACUAAUCCUCAUGUAUCAAUAAAUCAUCCUUUAUCAACUAAACAUAAAUUAUUAACUAAUCUUCAUAUAGCGUCUAAUCAUCACUUAUCAACUAGUCAUUAUUUACCAACAAACCAACAUUGGUCAACUAGCCAAUAUAUAUCAACUAAUCAUUAUAUACUAGAGUCUAUUCAUACUACAUUAUAACUAAUUCCUCAUUUUCAACUUGGCUACAUUGUCAAUCUGAUCACACCCCAAAGUCAUCAUAUCAUAAUAAGUAUAUCAUCAUAUUAUACUACUAAUAGCCGAACUCAAACCGGUAUGGAUAUUAAAUAAUAUCAUUAUAAAUAUCAUCCUAAUCAUCUUCCNNNNNNNNNNNNNNNNNNAGCAUAUAUAUAUAUAUAUAUAUAUAUAUAUAUAUCGUUAUAAUCAUCCCCCGACCUUGUCGGACAUAUAUAUUGUAGGACCCCACAAAUUUUCCUAGUCAUUAAAACUCUUUAAAGCAUGUCAAGGGAAGCUUCACACUUAGAAAAUUUGGCUAAGUAUUGGAACUUCUUCAUUUCAUAAGCCUUCAAACUUUGAUGAUUUAUUUCAUGACCUUCCCGACCUUUGGUAGUUGAUAUUUUAGCUAAUUCUUGUCCAGAAUGUCAAUAGAGUUUUUCAGACAAGUUUCAAAUUUUUCGAACCUCGUUUAGACCACGUUUGGGGUCUCAAAAUAGUAGACCAACGCGAUCUUGGCGCGCCGCGUCGCCUAUCGCGUUGGUUAACAUUGUUGCAGGCUGCCAGAGUCAAAAGUACUGAGGCUCUACGCGAUUAUGACGCAACGCGUCGGGUAUCGCGCCGAUGCCAUCGACACGCCGCAUCGACCAGCGCAUCGGCACCCAAUUUUUCAGUCAUUAAAAUAGCCGCGACCCCAGGAUUAUUUCAGUUUUUUUUCCCACUCUUAUAUAACCCUAAAACGCGUGUUUCAGCCAUAUUUUACCCAAAUCGUAGUGGUUUCUCUCAAUUUCUCUCAAGAACAAGUUUAGGGUUUCCAAUUGACGAUCCAAAUUCAAGAAAAUUUCACCGUCAAUCUUCGUAAAAUCAAGAACCAAGGUAUGUUAGAUGUUGAUUCUUGAAUUCCUUCCACCCAAGAAGUUCAAGAAUCAUUUUCUAAAAUUCAAAGAUUAUAUAUUUAUGAGUUUUCAUGAUUAAUGUGAAUUGAAAUUGAAGUUCAUGUUGUUAUUGAGUUUUUAAUUCAUGUUUUGUUUAUAAAGUUUCAAGCCUUGAUCCUAACAUGUGAUAUUUAUGUGAUGUUCAUGAUAAACCCCUUCAAGUUGCAUGUUUAUUGAUGUAUCCAUGAUAAUUAGGUGUAGGAAUUGUUGUAUAACCAAAGCAUGCUCCCCAUAUGUUUGAUAAAAUGCUUAUGUGAAGGAAAUAGAGUCAUUAUAGCAUGUUGACAAGAAAUCCCCAAUUGUGUAUAAGUUAAUGCAUGCCAAGUGUUUGUUGAAAGGCCUUAGUGAUGAAUUAUGAUAUGUUGUAUGCAUUCCUACUCAUGUGUAUUCCUUAUUGAAUGAAUUAUUAGAUAAUAGUAUGCACUCCCUAUACAUUUACAUGUUUAAGACUUCUAAGUGCUUGAAGAGAUGCCUCAUUAAUUGUGUUGUGAAUGAUAGCCUAUUGCCAUGUUAUGUAUGAGUUGUCGUGUCUUGUAUUAUUUAUGUUAUCGAGUCCUGGGGGUAUUUAUACCUGACAAAUUAGAGCUUGUCUAGAGCCAGUGUCAGUUUCAUGAUAAUCUCAGUCAUGCUAUGACUAGUAGUACUCUUAGUCAGUUACAGAACUCAGUAGAACUCAGACAGUGAUAGAACUUAGGAAAUCUCAGUAAUCUCAGUAUCAGUAGCAUUCCAAUUUUAGUUCAGUAAUCGAUUCAGAACUCAGUAAUAUUCCGUCAGUCAACGGAACUCAGUAAAUUUAGAUUAGCUCAGUCAAACAAGUACGAUCAGUAACAGUUUAGUCAAGCCUAGUAUGAAUUAGUAAUUAGUUCAGUGUUUUUCAGUUGGGAGUAAGAUUCACAUCGAGUGAACCUAGGGAUGAGGGCUCUCCCGCUAGAUAGGACUGAGAUCCCUAGAAGCAAUCCCUAAGUUCCAGAACAGCGUAGCCAGGUAGGUAUGAGAUAUCACCCGUUAGAUAGGACUGACAUACUCCGGGAUCACCCGCUAGUACAAGAUUGGUCUCAGGGGUCACCCGCUAGAUUAGGACUGACCCCAUAGCAGUUGUCUUUACCCGUGGAACAGUAUUGACACCCUUCCAGCUGGGGUUACAAGUUGGACCCCACUAGUUUAGAUUUGGGGCAUGUCGGUUAGAUGACUACCUCUCACAGUCUCAGCUUCAGAAUUAGUCUAAAUAAAAGAACUCAGCUCAAUAGCACAGAUUCAGGACUGUUAGAUAUAGUCACUCAUUAGUAUUAUCAAUGGAUUUAGAGAUCACCCGCUAGAUAGGACUGAUCUCAGAUUUAGUUAAGUAGUAUUAGUACCAACAGAUUCAGAGAUCAUCUGUUAGAUAGGACUGAUCUCAAAUACAGUUAAUUAGUAUCAAGUACCAUUAGAUUCAGAGAUCACCCGCUAGAUAUGACUGAUCUCAGAUUCAGUUAAUCAUCUUCAUUAUCAGUAUAUUCAGAGAUCACCCGUUAGAAAUGAAUGAUCUCAACCUCAGUCAAUCAAAUAUCAGUAUCAGUAGACUCAGUUAUCAGAAAUCUAGUUAUUAGAAUUCGGUAUUCAGUGUUCCUACGAUUUCAGUUAUAGUUGUGCAUUCAUGCAUGUAUCCUUAUUCAGUAUACUCAGAUGAUUUAGUCAGUAUUGUUCAUGCAUAUGAACCCCUACAUUUAGCCUACCUCAUCUAGCAUACCAGUACAUUCCACCGUACUGACGUAUACUUUUUUGUGCUAUGGUGUUUUAUACUAUAGGUUCAGAAUCAUAAGAUCCAGAGCACCCUUAGCAGUUCAGAUUCAGUCAGCAGCAGUAGACGUAGCCGUGAGUCCUCAUCAUUCAAGGAUAAUCUUUAUUUUAUUAUUUCACUAGAUUCAGUAUUUUAGUAGACAGAGUUAGUUGGGGACCUAUCCCAUCAACUCCACAGUUCAGACAAUUUAGAGGCUUUUCAGACAUAUGUAUCAGUAUUUAGUUUUCAGUUGUAUUUAAGAUAUUUAAGCCUCAUGGCAAGUUUUUUGCCAGUUUUCUGCAUUUUUAUAGUGUAUUAUGCAGUGCUCAGUUAUAGAUACUAGAAAAGGGUUAACUUGUGGUCCUUCAGGAUUAUGAGUACCGUGUAGCGUUUGGGGUACCAGACUUAUGGCGUUACAAACUUGGUAUCAGAGCCUAAGGUUCAACAGUGUCCUAGGAAGUCUGAAAUCCGUAUCUAGUAGUCUUGUGCAUGAGUGUGUUGCGCGCCACAUUUAUGCACAGGAGGCUAUAAAAUGUCUUAGGAACAAUUUCUCUUCUUUCAAUAUUCAUGUCAUGCGAGUGAGCAUGAGCUCAAGUUAAGACUCUCAGUGUAAUCCUGAUACGAUUCAAAUGGCCUCCUUAGCUUUCAAUGAGGUCAUUCGAAGUCAGUACGUGGGGCAUCAAGCUUUGGUCACAUUAAGGAAACAGGAUCCUACAUGGAGGGGCCGAUUUGAGUACACCAAAGAGCAACCCACAUGUGAAAGAUUGCUUGGAGCAUUGAAGAUUGAGGACUCACAGUUUUGGGCCUUCAUUAAGGAUAUUUUGAUUACUUAGCCUUGUCCAAGUAACACUCUAUGACCACCCCUUUUCAUUAAGGGUAUUGUGAUCUUUUUGUUAUGUAAUAAGUUAGACUAUAAAUAGGUUCUAUUAGUUCAUUUGGUAGUUAAUUUAUGAAAGAUAAAAGAUUGAAACAAUUGAAUUCCUUUCUCUUGAGAGUAGAC